UUUUAUAAAUAAUUUGAUUGAGGUUAUUUAAAUAUAAAAAGAUUAAAAUAAAAUUAUUUAUUUUAUUGGGGUGAUAGAAAAAUAAAUAUAACUUUUUUUAAAAAUUAAAACAUUUAUAAGUGAUUAAAUGAUCCAAUAUUAUUGAUUAU
This 149-nucleotide ribosomal RNA is filed under the name Amphipoea sp. 332016. Its description in RNAcentral is "partial large subunit ribosomal RNA". The record is from RNAcentral. Lineage: Eukaryota; Metazoa; Arthropoda; Insecta; Lepidoptera; Noctuidae.